Molecule: ribosomal RNA, 391 nt
Filed under: uncultured bacterium
Lineage: Bacteria
Description: bacterial SSU rRNA
Rfam family: Bacterial small subunit ribosomal RNA
Source: RNAcentral
UAAGGGAUAUUGGUCAAUGGGGCGGGGAGCCUGAACCAGCCAUGCCGCGUGAGGGAAUGAGGCCCUACGGGUCGUAAACCUCUUUUGCCGGGGGAUAACGGGCGCCACGUGUGGCGCCGUGAAGGUACCCGGAGAAUAAGCAUCGGCUAACUCCGUGCCAGCAGCCGCGGUAAUACGGAGGAUGCAAGCGUUAUCCGGAUUCAUUGGGUUUAAAGGGUGCGUAGGCGGCUUGGUAAGUCAGCGGUGAAAUUCCAGUGCUCAACAUUGGCCGUGCCGUUGAUACUGCUGGGCUUGAAUGCGGAUGCCGUGGGAGGAAUGUGUGGUGUAGCGGUGAAAUGCAUAGAUAUCACACAGAACACCGAUUGCGAAGGCAUCUCACGAAUCCGCAAUU